RNAcentral lists this ribosomal RNA (425 nucleotides) under uncultured bacterium. RNAcentral's name for it is "bacterial SSU rRNA". It matches the Rfam family "Bacterial small subunit ribosomal RNA", at positions 354 to 796 of the family's 1533-position model. The record is from RNAcentral.
GUGGGGAAUAUUGGACAAUGGGCGAAAGCCUGAUCCAGCAAUGCCGCGUGAGUGAUGAAGGCCUUAGGGUUGUAAAGCUCUUUUACCCGGGAAGAUAAUGACUGUACCGGGAGAAUAAGCCCCGGCUAACUCCGUGCCAGCAGCCGCGGUAAUACGGAGGGGGCUAGCGUUGUUCGGAAUUACUGGGCGUAAAGCGCACGUAGGCGGCUUUGUAAGUUAGGGGUGAAAGCCUGGUGCUCAACACCAGAACUGCCUUUGAUACUGCAUGGCUUGAAUCCGAGAGAGGUGAGUGGAAUUCCGAGUGUAGAGGUGAAAUUCGUAGAUAUUCGGAAGAACACCAGUGGCGAAGGCGGCUCACUGGCUCGGUAUUGACGCUGAGGUGCGAAAGCGUGGGGAGCAAACAGGAUUAGAAACCCCAGUAGUCC